This 372-nucleotide ribosomal RNA is filed under the name uncultured organism. RNAcentral's name for it is "partial 16S ribosomal RNA". It matches the Rfam family "Bacterial small subunit ribosomal RNA", at positions 527 to 896 of the family's 1533-position model. The record is from RNAcentral.
GUAGGUGGCAAGCGUUGUCCGGAAUUAUUGGGCGUAAAGCGCGCGCAGGCGGUUCUUUAAGUCUGAUGUGAAAGCCCACGGCUCAACCGUGGAGGGUCAUUGGAAACUGGAGAACUUGAGUACAGAAGAGGAAAGCGGAAUUCCACGUGUAGCGGUGAAAUGCGUAGAGGUGUGGAGGAACACCAGUGGCGAAGGCGGCUUUCUGGUCUGUAACUGACGCUGAGGCGCGAAAGCGUGGGGAGCAAACAGGGAUUAGAUACCCUGGUAGUCCACGCCGUAAACGAUGAGUGCUAAGUGUUAGGGGGUUUCCCGCCCCUUAGUGCUGCAGCUAACGCAUUAAGCACUCCGCCUGGGGAUACGGCCGCAAGGCUG